GUCUAUGGCCAUGCCACCCUGAACAAGCCUGAUGUCUGAUCUCGGAAGCUAAGGAGGGUCGAGCCUGAUUAGUACUUGAAUGGGAGACCACCUAGGGAGACCAGGUACUGUAGGCA
Molecule: ribosomal RNA, 116 nt
Filed under: Pteropus alecto (black flying fox)
Lineage: Eukaryota; Metazoa; Chordata; Mammalia; Chiroptera; Pteropodidae
Source: RNAcentral